GCACUGCUACAACUGGACAAAAGACUGCCUUCUAAGCAGUCGGUCGAUGGUUCGAAUCCAUCAGGGGGCG
This 70-nucleotide transfer RNA is filed under the name Synechococcus sp. PROS-7-1. Its description in RNAcentral is "tRNA-Ser". The record is from RNAcentral. Lineage: Bacteria; Bacillati; Cyanobacteriota; Cyanophyceae; Synechococcales; Synechococcaceae.